Molecule: ribosomal RNA, 662 nt
Filed under: Pseudomonas sp.
Lineage: Bacteria; Pseudomonadati; Pseudomonadota; Gammaproteobacteria; Pseudomonadales; Pseudomonadaceae
Description: bacterial SSU rRNA
Rfam family: Bacterial small subunit ribosomal RNA
Source: RNAcentral
UGCAGUCGAGCGGUAGAGAGAAGCUUGCUUCUCUUGAGAGCGGCGGACGGGUGAGUAAUGCCUAGGAAUCUGCCUGGUAGUGGGGGAUAACGUUCGGAAACGGACGCUAAUACCGCAUACGUCCUACGGGAGAAAGCAGGGGACCUUCGGGCCUUGCGCUAUCAGAUGAGCCUAGGUCGGAUUAGCUAGUUGGUGAGGUAAUGGCUCACCAAGGCGACGAUCCGUAACUGGUCUGAGAGGAUGAUCAGUCACACUGGAACUGAGACACGGUCCAGACUCCUACGGGAGGCAGCAGUGGGGAAUAUUGGACAAUGGGCGAAAGCCUGAUCCAGCCAUGCCGCGUGUGUGAAGAAGGUCUUCGGAUUGUAAAGCACUUUAAGUUGGGAGGAAGGGUUGUAGAUUAAUACUCUGCAAUUUUGACGUUACCGACAGAAUAAGCACCGGCUAACUCUGUGCCAGCAGCCGCGGUAAUACAGAGGGUGCAAGCGUUAAUCGGAAUUACUGGGCGUAAAGCGCGCGUAGGUGGUUUGUUAAGUUGGAUGUGAAAUCCCCGGGCUCAACCUGGGAACUGCAUUCAAAACUGACUGACUAGAGUAUGGUAGAGGGUGGUGGAAUUUCCUGUGUAGCGGUGAAAUGCGUAGAUAUAGGAAGGAACACCAGUG